Agrilus planipennis (emerald ash borer) is the source of this 5061-nucleotide RNA transcript. It is a transcript of the gene named chromosome-associated kinesin KIF4A, with no coding region annotated. The transcript has 21 exons. The record is from RefSeq and is a predicted model, not a curated record. NCBI's taxonomy places the organism in Eukaryota, Metazoa, Arthropoda, Insecta, Coleoptera, Buprestidae.
UUGUAACGGUCGAACACGAAAGCACGACGUUUUCUUCUCUUUUUCUUCCAGUUUCGGAUGUUUGCUGGAGGCGUUAAACGUAACAGAAUUUUUUGAUUCAUUUUCGUUUGAUCUGAAAGAUGAACGAACCAAACAACGAUCGAGACUGUAACGAUUCGGUAAAGGUUGCUGUACGAAUCAGGCCAUUGGUCGAGUCAGAAAUAGCUAGAGGAUGCAACAAUGUUUUAGAAGUUAUACCUUCAUUACAACAAGUUCAGGUGGCAGAUAAAGCCUUCACAUACAAUUACGUCUACGAUUGUGAAUCAACACAGGAAGAAUUUUACAACAGUUGUUCCAAGAAGUUAAUUACCAACUUGUUUAAGGGGUACAAUGUGACCAUAUUGGCUUAUGGACAAACAGGCUCUGGAAAAACUUAUACCAUGGGUACUUGUUAUGAUGGUGAGGGUGAAAUGGGAAUUAUACCCCGGGCAAUACACGACAUUUUUACCUACGUCCGCGAUAAUUUUUCUUAUGAUUUUACUGUAACGGUAACGUUUAUGGAACUUUAUCAGGAGACACUGUACGAUUUAUUGUCAAAAAAACCGAAAGAUCAGUGUAAUGUCGAAAUUAGAGAUGACGGAAAAAAUAUAUUGAUUCCUAACUUAACAGAAGAAACCGUUGAUAGUGCUCAUAAAGCUUUGGAGUUUUUAAGAAUCGGUUCUUUGUCUCGGGUAGUGGGAUCCACUAAUAUGAAUGCCCAAAGUAGUCGUAGUCAUGCAAUUUUUACCAUUAACCUAUGCAUGCAAAAGAAAGAUGACAGUAACCAAAACAAGGCUGCAAAGUUUCAUUUGGUAGAUCUAGCCGGUUCAGAAAGAUCAAAGAAAACUGGAGCAACUGGACAAACUUUUAAAGAAGGCAUAAAUAUAAAUAAGGGAUUACUUGCCCUUGGAAAUGUCAUAUCUGCUUUGGGAGAUGAAAAACUGCAAGCGGGUUAUAUCUCUUACAGAGACAGCAAUUUGACAAGACUAUUAAAAGAUUCUCUUGGAGGUAAUAGCAUCACAUUAAUGAUUGCUUGCGUUAGUCCAGCUGAUUAUAAUCUAGAAGAGACGCUAUCAACUUUGCGAUAUGCUGAUAGAGCAAGAAAAAUUAAGAAUAAACCUAUUGUCAAUCAAGAUCCAAAAAUUGCAGAGAUAAAUCGUUUGAAAAAGACAAUACAGCAGCUGCGUUUGGAAUUAAUUGGUCAAGGUGGUCCCAUAGUUUGUCAAGGUGAAAUAGACACGAUUAGAAAAGAAAAUGACCAAAUGAAGGCUAAAAUACACGAGUUAACUGUUCAACUGUCGUCAUCGAUUAACGAAAAGACCGGUCUUUUGGAACGGUUAAUUAUAUUACAGACGUCUAACGAACGUUUGCGAGAAAAGUUACUUGAAAUAAAGAAAGAAUAUGAUACGACGUUAAACAGUCUAAACCUGAGUAUUCAGCAGAACGACGGGGACAUGAUACGUGAAAACAUGCGUAAAUUGGAAAUUAUGAAACUACAAUUAACUGAACUCGACACCGAACAUAAAAAAACUGAAGAGGAAGUACGAAUGCACGAGGCCGACGUAGCGCAGAUUCAAAAUCAGAUGUUUACCAACAACAAGGCAUUAGUGAAUGACAUUGAAAUGGAGAAAGAAUUAAAAGAGCGACACGAGUACUAUGCUGCCCAUCAGAUGGCGAAAGACUUACAGUUACAGGAAUUGUCGAAAAUGCUGGCAAUGAAAGAACGUCUAGCGCAGCAAAUCGCCAGCAACAAUUGCUAUAUGGUCGACUAUCAAGCUAUAACUGAGACCGAAGAGAAAAUUAAUAGCCUUGAAAAAGAAAAGGAAGAUCUGCUAGUGCAAUUAAAAAAGGCACAGACGACCGGUAACGAACCGUCGGCUAAGGGUGCCGAGAUACGGCGAAGGAGAAUUCAAGAACUGGAAAAAGAAAUACAAGAUUUAAGAAGAAAGGUUACUGAACAAGCUCGACUUAUUAAGAUGAAAGAGAAAGACGAACUGAAAAUAAAACAACUGCAGAACGAGAUCCAGUCGAUGAAACAAUUAAAAGUAAAGUUAAUAAGAGAUAUGAAACAGGAAGCGGACAAGUUCAGACAAUGGAAGAAGCAACGCGAGCAAGAAGUCUGCAAGCUGCGAGAGCAGGAUAGAAAACGGCAGAACCAGAUGAGAGUUAUGGAAACGAUGCACAGUCGGCAGCAGAACGUCCUCAAACGAAAAGUGGAGGAGGUAGCGGCCAUCAAUAAGCGACUAAAGGACGCACUUGCAUUGCGAAAUGCUGUACAAGAACAGAAAAAUUCCGGUAAAGUCGAACAGACAGCUGCGUGGCUGCGACAAGAGUUUAAUUUGUUUGUGAGCAUAAUCGAAGCAAAAGUGACUUUGACUGGUCUUUUGGAAGACAGAGCGGCACUACAUCAACAAAUGGAAAAUCUGAAGGCUGAUGCUUCCGACGAAGAUUCGGAAGAAGUUAAGCAACUCAAAAACGAAAUAGAGCUGCGCUCGAUUCAAAUUCAAGAUUUACAACAGAAACUGCUCGAUUCCGACGAAGACAACAAAUCCAGAGCACGUUUUGACAAUAUUCAAACAAUGAACGAAGCCAAGUAUUGUUUGAAGAUGCUUUUCCAGCUCACUUCAGAAAUAAAGAAGAACGAGGUGAAUUUAGAAUACAGGAUGAGUGAACUGGUGCAAAGUCAAAAUGAGAUGGCCAAUAAAUUAAAAGUUCUCGAGGCUAAUUUGAUCAAGAAUAAUCAGAAUCACCAAUUAGAAAUGGCCAACGUUCAGAAAGAGUACGAAGAAAAGGUGUCGGUUUUGUUAAGACAGUUACGGGGUGUUCAGGUUUCGGAUACAGAAAAGGAAAUGAACUACAGAUUUAACAUACAACAACAGCGUAUAGAAAUGUUGGAAAAACAACUAGAGGAAAAGCAGAAAGAAGGUGAAACAGUAAUAGUAGAAAAUUCCAAAUUGGCAAGAACCAUAGACGACAUAACGGUUGAAGAGAAUAUACUAGAUGUGAGCGUCGAAGUAGAAGUGGAUAAUCCAGUUGCUGACCCCGACUGGAGAAAAACACCAUUGGCUAAGAGAAUAAGAAAAUUGAGGAAAACUUCUCCAGAGUUUUCAAGCCAAACAGUUAAACGAAGUUCGGAAGGCGGUUGCACGUGUAAAGGAUCGUGCGCCACAAGAAACUGCGGAUGUAAAAAGUUUCAGCUUAGUUGUAACCCUAACUGCAGGUGCGAUCCCCUCAAUUGCGUCAAUAGAAAUGAAAAGAAAGAACGGAGCGAGAGCACUAACGGAGACGAUUUCAAAAAACCUAGAGUACCGUUAGCAGAAGACAUUUCUAUCCCAAAAACCAUGUCUACGAGAUCGUCGAGAUUAAAACGAGAAAGGUUGUUUGAAUUAUAAGAGUUUAACUAUUUUCUUAUUGCCACAAAUAGAUUUAAUUUAUGUAGGUAUAUUUAUGUAUGUUAGUAAUUACAUUUUUUGAUUGUCAUUUCUAUUUUUGUGUGUACCUAAAUUUUUUAAAAAUAUGUGAAAGAAAGACCACAAUGCAAACUAUUGUGUAUUAUUCAGUGGUUAUUAAUAAGAAAAAUUGUUUUAAAAUAAAUGUAACAUAGUACCCAGUGGGUUUUCCUCAAAAGUUACGUCUUGCAAAGUGGCAUUCGGCAGUGGAUGCAAACAACACGCAAGAAAAUAAUGACACCCUUCACAAUGCGAUACACCGAUACAAUCUUGUAAAUCCGCAUUUCCUUUCUACCAAUCAUUUUUAAAAUCCUGUUAUAUUUACUCAUACAAAUAUUGAAAUGUUUAAUUCUUGAAACUGCAACGUGUUUUUUUUUUUUGUUUAACAACAUUACCUCGUGUCUUGCUAUUUUCUCAUUCUUGUAUAAUAAGUAUCAUGGAACGCACCCAAUUUCUCCAUAGCAUAAAUUGAGGUUAACUUGGCAUUUAUGGUUAUUUGAUUUUAUUUCGAUGAUUCUGUUUUUUAAAGUGGAGGCUACUUCAUUGUAAUACCUGGGUUAAUUUUGGCAUUUCACUCGGUUUUUGACAGUUUACUUAAUAGCCUGCUGUAGUGCAGGACCACCUGGAAUUUGUUGUUUGCUGCUUACCAUUAACCCAGAACGAACUUACAAUCAAUUGGCAGUGCAAUAUCUGGGGAUCGUCUCUGUGAUUGUGUUAACAUCUAAUUCAUAAAUAGUUGACUUAAUAGUCUACUGUGCUGUAGGACUCGCUGGACUUUGUUGUUUUCUGCUUACCAUUAACCUAGAACGAAUUUGCAGUCAAAUGGCAGGGCAAUAUCUGGGAAUCAUCUCUGUGAUUGUGUGAGCAUCUAAUUCUUAAAGAAGAAGGUUGAUAGUUACUUUAAUAUGGUAUGCACGUAAUGUCACUAAGGGGGCUGAACUGAUCAUAUGCGAUGAUAGUUGACUUAAUAGUCUGCUGUGGUGUACGAUUCCGUGGACUUUGUUGUUUGCUGCGUACCAUUAACCUUUGAAUCGGAAUUUGCAGCGAAAUAUCGGUGCAACAUCUGGGGAUUGUCUCUGUGAUUGUGUUAGCAUCUAAUCCUUAUAUAGUUGACUUAAUAGUCUACUGUGCUGUAGGACUCGCUGGACUUUGUUGUUUUCUGCUUACCAUUAACCUAGAACGAAUUUGCAGUCAAAUGGCAGGGCAAUAUCUGGGAAUCAUCUCUGUGAUUGUGUGAGCAUCUAAUUCUUAAAUCGUUGACUUAGUAGUCUACUGUGCUGUAGGACUCCCUGGACUUUGUUGUUUGCUGCUUACGGCUAACCUAACAACAAUUGGCAGUCAAUAAUGGUGGGAAUAAAGGCCAUUAUACUGUUUAUUCAUAUAAACUGAUAAAUAAGUUCAUAAUUACUUUAAGGGGCUAUGCAUGCUAUAGCUAUAGAAGAUGAGUUAAUGAUUCAUAGUGAGUACAUUUAACAUUUUAGUGUUUUUAUUAGUUUUAAAUACAUAAGAAGUACAUUUUCUUAAACAACUGUACAGUAAGUUUCGAAGUUGUAAUAUGUUGUUUGUUUAAUAAUGCUACGCUGUGUACAUGUUA